RNAcentral lists this ribosomal RNA (449 nucleotides) under uncultured bacterium. Its description in RNAcentral is "bacterial SSU rRNA". It matches the Rfam family "Bacterial small subunit ribosomal RNA", at positions 28 to 460 of the family's 1533-position model. The record is from RNAcentral.
GAUGAACGCUGGCGGCGUGCUUAACACAUGCAAGUCGAACGGGAAAUAUUUCAUUGAGACUUCGGUGGAUUUGAUCUAUUUCUAGUGGCGGACGGGUGAGUAACGCGUGGGUAACCUGCCUUAUACGGGGGGAUAACAGUCAGAAAUGGCUGCUAAUACCGCAUAAGCGCACAGAGCUGCAUGGCUCAGUGUGAAAAACUCCGGUGGUAUAAGAUGGACCCGCGUUGGAUUAGCUAGUUGGUGGGGUAACGGCCCACCAAGGCGACGAUCCAUAGCCGGCCUGAGAGGGUGAACGGCCACAUUGGGACUGAGACACGGCCCAGACUCCUACGGGAGGCAGCAGUGGGGAAUAUUGCACAAUGGGGGAAACCCUGAUGCAGCGACGCCGCGUGAAGGAAGAAGUAUCUCGGUAUGUAAACUUCUAUCAGCAGGGAAGAUAGUGUCGGUAC